RNAcentral lists this ribosomal RNA (1494 nucleotides) under Paenibacillus jamilae. RNAcentral describes it as "bacterial SSU rRNA". It matches the Rfam family "Bacterial small subunit ribosomal RNA". The record is from RNAcentral. Lineage: Bacteria; Bacillati; Bacillota; Bacilli; Caryophanales; Paenibacillaceae.
CGGACAUGACCGGAUUAUAACUCCGAACUCUGGCCCUAAUCAUGCAAGUCGAGGCGGGGUUAGUUAGAAGCUUGCUUCUAACUAACCUAGCGGCGGACGGGUGAGUAACACGUAGGCAACCUGCCCACAAGACAGGGAUAACUACCGGAAACGGUAGCUAAUACCCGAUACAUCCUUUUCCUGCAUGGGAGAAGGAGGAAAGGCGGAGCAAUCUGUCACUUGUGGAUGGGCCUGCGGCGCAUUAGCUAGUUGGUGGGGUAAAGGCCUACCAAGGCGACGAUGCGUAGCCGACCUGAGAGGGUGAUCGGCCACACUGGGACUGAGACACGGCCCAGACUCCUACGGGAGGCAGCAGUAGGGAAUCUUCCGCAAUGGGCGAAAGCCUGACGGAGCAACGCCGCGUGAGUGAUGAAGGUUUUCGGAUCGUAAAGCUCUGUUGCCAGGGAAGAACGUCUUGUAGAGUAACUGCUACAAGAGUGACGGUACCUGAGAAGAAAGCCCCGGCUAACUACGUGCCAGCAGCCGCGGUAAUACGUAGGGGGCAAGCGUUGUCCGGAAUUAUUGGGCGUAAAGCGCGCGCAGGCGGCUCUUUAAGUCUGGUGUUUAAUCCCGAGGCUCAACUUCGGGUCGCACUGGAAACUGGGGAGCUUGAGUGCAGAAGAGGAGAGUGGAAUUCCACGUGUAGCGGUGAAAUGCGUAGAGAUGUGGAGGAACACCAGUGGCGAAGGCGACUCUCUGGGCUGUAACUGACGCUGAGGCGCGAAAGCGUGGGGAGCAAACAGGAUUAGAUACCUGGUAGUCACGCCGUAAACGAUGAAUGCUAGGUGUUAGGGGUUUCGAUACCCUUGGUGCCGAAGUUAACACAUUAAGCAUUCCGCCUGGGGAGUACGGUCGCAAGACUGAAACUCAAGGAAUUGACGGGGACCCGCACAAGCAGUGGAGUAUGUGGUUUAAUUCGAAGCAACGCGAAGAACCUUACCAGGUCUUGACAUCCCUCUGACCGGUCUAGAGAUAGAGCUUUCCUUCGGGACAGAGGAGACAGGUGGUGCAUGGUUGUCGUCAGCUCGUGUCGUGAGAUGUUGGGUUAAGUCCCGCAACGAGCGCAACCCUUAUGCUUAGUUGCCAGCAGGUCAAGCUGGGCACUCUAAGCAGACUGCCGGUGACAAACCGGAGGAAGGUGGGGAUGACGUCAAAUCAUCAUGCCCCUUAUGACCUGGGCUACACACGUACUACAAUGGCCGGUACAACGGGAAGCGAAGCCGCGAGGUGGAGCCAAUCCUAGAAAAGCCGGUCUCAGUUCGGAUUGUAGGCUGCAACUCGCCUACAUGAAGUCGGAAUUGCUAGUAAUCGCGGAUCAGCAUGCCGCGGUGAAUACGUUCCCGGGUCUUGUACACACCGCCCGUCACACCACGAGAGUUUACAACACCCGAAGUCGGUGAGGUAACCGCAAGGAGCCGCCACCAAGGGACGAAAUAACAGUAUUUUCGUCAUGCC